This 506-nucleotide ribosomal RNA is filed under the name uncultured Actinomycetes bacterium. RNAcentral's name for it is "bacterial SSU rRNA". It matches the Rfam family "Bacterial small subunit ribosomal RNA", at positions 8 to 522 of the family's 1533-position model. Lineage: Bacteria; Bacillati; Actinomycetota; Actinomycetes. The record is from RNAcentral.
AGAGUUUGAUCAUGGCUCAGGACGAACGCUGGCGGCGCGCCUAACACAUGCAAGUCGAACGGUGAACGGGGCUUCGGCCCCGGGAUCAGUGGCGAACGGGUGCGUAACACGUGGGCAACUUGCCCCUCACUCUGGGAUAACCCCGGGAAACCGGAGCUAAUACCGGAUACUCCGAACGGUCCACCUGGUCCGAUCGGGAAAGGUCCGCCGGUGAGGGAUGGGCCCGCGGCCUAUCAGCUUGUUGGUGGGGUAACGGCUCACCAAGGCGACGACGGGUAGCUGGUCUGAGAGGACGGCCAGCCACACUGGGACUGAGAUACGGCCCAGACUCCUACGGGAGGCAGCAGUGGGGAAUCUUGCGCAAUGGGCGAAAGCCUGACGCAGCGACGCCGCGUGAGGGAUGAAGGCCCUCGGGUUGUAAACCUCUUUCGGCGGGGGACGAAGCGAUCCGUGACGGUACCCGCAAGAAGAAGCCCCGGGCUAACUACGUGCCAGCAGCCGCGGUA